GGGACAGUAGGCUAAUGGCAAACUGAGUGGCUCCAGACCACUAUUUGGGGGUUCGACUCCCUCCUGCCCCA
This 71-nucleotide transfer RNA is filed under the name Nanobdellota archaeon. Its description in RNAcentral is "tRNA-Trp". It matches the Rfam family "tRNA". From Rfam's summary of the family: Transfer RNA (tRNA) molecules are approximately 80 nucleotides in length. Their secondary structure includes four short double-helical elements and three loops (D, anti-codon, and T loops). Further hydrogen bonds mediate the characteristic L-shaped molecular structure. tRNAs have two regions of fundamental functional importance: the anti-codon, which is responsible for specific mRNA codon recognition, and the 3' end, to which the tRNAs corresponding amino acid is attached (by aminoacyl-tRNA synthetases). tRNAs cope with the degeneracy of the genetic code in two manners: having more than one tRNA (with a specific anti-codon) for a particular amino acid; and 'wobble' base-pairing, i.e. permitting non-standard base-pairing at the 3rd anti-codon position. The record is from RNAcentral. Lineage: Archaea; Nanobdellati; Nanobdellota.